This 356-nucleotide long non-coding RNA is filed under the name Mytilus galloprovincialis (Mediterranean mussel). Lineage: Eukaryota; Metazoa; Mollusca; Bivalvia; Mytilida; Mytilidae. The record is from RNAcentral.
GCAGUUAUCAUUUGUUGAUGUGGUUCAUUGGUAUUUUCCGGUUCGGAUAUAUAAAUUAGAUCGUUGGUUUUCCUGUUCGAAUUGUGUACGCUAAUAAUUUUGGGUCCUUUUUAGCUUGCUGUUUGGUCUGUAUCAAAGCCCUGUGUAAAAGGCCGUACUUUGACCUGUGUUUUUUAUUAUCAGGUUGUGAACAACCCUCCCUCAGACAAGGGGUCAUUUUACUGAUGUAGAAAAGAAAAUAGAAAUACCAAGGAUUUGUAUAGUUCUUCUAUACAAAACCUUUGAAAACUUAGAAUUUUGUACUCAAAAAGAGGAAAGUUACAUCAUAUGUUAAAAAACUUUUUCUAAAAGAGGGG